RNAcentral lists this ribosomal RNA (425 nucleotides) under uncultured bacterium. RNAcentral describes it as "bacterial SSU rRNA". It matches the Rfam family "Bacterial small subunit ribosomal RNA", at positions 354 to 776 of the family's 1533-position model. The record is from RNAcentral.
GUAGGGAAUAUUGGGCAAUGGGCGAGAGCCUGACCCAGCCAUGCCGCGUGCAGGAUGAAGGCUUUCUGAGUCGUAAACUGCUUUUGCCAGGGAAGAAAAAGAGGGAUGCGUCCUUCACUGACGGUACCUGGUGAAUAAGCACCGGCUAACUCCGUGCCAGCAGCCGCGGUAAUACGGAGGGUGCAAGCGUUGUCCGGAUUUAUUGGGUUUAAAGGGUGCGUAGGCGGCCGAUUAAGUCUGGGGUGAAAGCCCACUGCUCAACAGUGGAACUGCCCUGGAAACUGGUCGGCUUGAGUACAGACGAGGGUGGCGGAAUGGAUGGUGUAGCGGUGAAAUGCAUAGAUACCAUCCAGAACCCCGAUUGCGAAGGCAGCUGCCUAGACUGUAACUGACGCUGAGGCACGAAAGCGUGGGGAGCGAACAGG